UGAUGGUUCUUGGGGGCUGAUAAGUUCUUUGAGGUACACUGGUGCACUGCCAUAGACACACUGAUAGGUCAGGAGGCAGAUCUUAUAUUCCACCCUGAACCUAACAGGAAGCCAGUGGAGUUUAUUGAGGAUGGGAGUAAUGUGUUGAGUUUUGGGCACGCCCAUCAGGAUCCUGGCAGC
Long non-coding RNA from Thalassophryne amazonica, 180 nucleotides. RefSeq lists it as uncharacterized. The transcript is spliced from 4 exons. The record is from RefSeq and is a predicted model, not a curated record. Lineage: Eukaryota; Metazoa; Chordata; Actinopteri; Batrachoidiformes; Batrachoididae.